Molecule: ribosomal RNA, 855 nt
Filed under: uncultured archaeon
Lineage: Archaea
Description: bacterial SSU rRNA
Rfam family: Archaeal small subunit ribosomal RNA
Source: RNAcentral
UUCGAUUAAGCCAUGCGAGUCGCGAGUCUUAGGGACUCGGCGUACCGCUCAGUAACACGUGGGUAACCUGCCCUAUGCUGGGGAAUAACCUCGGGAAACUGAGAAUAAUGCCCCAUAGUUCAUCACGCCUGGAACGGUGGGUGGAUCAAAGCUCCGGCGGCAUAGGAUGGGCCUGCGGCGUAUCAGGUCGUAGGGGGUGUAAUGUACCCUCUAGCCAUCGACGCGUACGGGUGUUGGGAGACAUUGCCCGGAGAUGGAUUCUGAGACACGAAUCCAGACCCUACGGGGUGCAGCAGGCGCGAAAACUUGGCAAUGCGAGAAAUCGUGACCAGGGAACUCCAAGUGCAUCGGGUAAGACCGAUGCUUUUCUUGACUCUUCAACGGUCUUGGAAUAAGGGGUGGGUAAGGACGGUGCCAGCCGCCGCGGUAAUACCGGCGCCUCAAGUGGUAGUCGCUUUUAUUGGGCCUAAAACGUCCGUAGCCGGUUUGGUACAUUCGUGGGUAAAUCAAGGCGCUCAACGUCUUGAAUUCUGCGAGCACGGCCAGACUUGGGACCGGGUGAGGUGUGGGGUACUCUCAGGGUAGGGGUAAAAUCCUGUCAUCCUGAGAGGACCACCUGUUGCGAAGGCGCCACACUAGAACGGAUCCGACGGUCAGGGACGAAGCCUAGGGGCACGAACCGGAUUAGAUACCCGGGUAGUCCUAGGUGUAAACGCUGUGGACUUGAUGUUGGGAGUGCUCCGAGCACCCUCAGUGUCGAAGCGAAGGUGAUAAGUCCACUGCCUGGGGAGUACGGUCGCAAGGCUGAAACUUAAAGGAAUUGGCGGGGGAGCACUGCAACCUGAGGAUUGUGCG